UACGUAGGCAGCAAGCGUUGUUCGGAAUUACUGGGCGUAAAGAGUGUGUAGGCGGUGUUCUAAGUUUGGUGUGAAAUCUCCCGGCUCAACUGGGAGGGUGCGCCGGAUACUGAGGGGCUAGAGUGUGGGAGAGGAAAGUGGAAUUCCUGGUGUAGCGGUGAAAUGCGUAGAUAUCAGGAGGAACACCGGUGGUGUAAACGGCUUUCUGGACCAUAACUGACGCUGAGGCACGAAAGCGUGGGUAGCAAACAGG
Molecule: ribosomal RNA, 253 nt
Filed under: uncultured bacterium
Lineage: Bacteria
Description: partial 16S ribosomal RNA
Rfam family: Bacterial small subunit ribosomal RNA
Source: RNAcentral